CCCCUUUGUCUACAUGACUGACUCAUGGUUCUGGACUCACAGCCAAAUGCUGUUUCUCCAUAUCCUGUUAUUUAGCAGUAGACUGAACUAAACUGUGAGAGACGAACAGGACAAAUGGUUGUGGUUCCUUUGAGAAACAGUGUUGAGACAUUGAGCACUGAGAAAUGGUGUGACAUUUCUCAACAAGACCUCACCACAAAAGUCACAAUAUGGAAAGAUGAACAUCUCUCUGCAGAGGAGAUUAUAUAUAAUUUAAUAUAUUUGUUUUCAUCUGUUUUUGUUUUCUCAAUCGUUCAGUUCCAUAGGUCAGAGGUCAAGCUGAGCUGAGCCAAUAGUGGAAGAGUGGAAAAGGUUACUGGUUAUGAUGACAUCACUACUGGUUAUGAUGACAUCACUGGAACUCCGCUGUGUGGAAACAUGCAGAAUGGAUCAGAGAAUAGUGUGAGCUGUGGUAACGCUAGACGGCCCUGGUGCUGUCAACGUCAGCUAUCUUCAUCUGCACAGACAAGUUAGUCACCUUUUACACACUAUGUUCCUCACCCUCUCUCUCCCUCCUCCCCUGUCUCCUUCUACCAACCCAGUCUGUCAAUAAGUCCUAUCUCGGUCUCUCAUCUCUCUCCCUCCUGUCCUGUCUCCCCCAGUUGCUCUUUUCCUCCCUUCUCCCUCCUCUUCGACAGGCCUGAUGCUGUAUGUCAGGGUUGGGGUCAGGUCAGUUUACAGCUGUGUCUGUAAACAACGACUCUAUAUGGAAGUAAAUGACUACAAACUACAUUCAAGUCUUGAGUUUAUUCAAGUAGAAUAAGAAAAGGACAAAACAAAAUCAAGGUGUAUCUGUUAGAAAUCAUCAAUGACUUCACAUCAACUCACAAGUAUCACAGUAGGAUAGAAA
Salvelinus fontinalis (brook trout) is the source of this 889-nucleotide long non-coding RNA. RefSeq lists it as uncharacterized. The record is from RefSeq and is a predicted model, not a curated record. Lineage: Eukaryota; Metazoa; Chordata; Actinopteri; Salmoniformes; Salmonidae. The transcript is spliced from 2 exons.